AAAGUCGUAACAAGGUUUCCGUAGGUGAACCUGCGGAAGGAUCAUUAACGAGUAACGGGUCCUUCUGGGCUCGCACUCCAACCCUUUGUUUACCUGCUCUGUGCCUCGGCAGGGUGCCUUUCAGGUACACCUGCCGGGAGAGAGGCCGCGACAGACAGCUGGUUUCGGCUUGCUUAAGACGCAGCUUCUGCCAAUUAAACUCUGUAAACUUAAGAGUCUGAUUUAAAAUAUAUGGAAUUAAAACUUUCAACAACGGAUCUCUUGGUUCUG
Molecule: unclassified non-coding RNA, 270 nt
Filed under: Ascomycota sp.
Lineage: Eukaryota; Fungi; Ascomycota
Description: partial contains small subunit ribosomal RNA, internal transcribed spacer 1, and 5.8S ribosomal RNA
Rfam family: Eukaryotic small subunit ribosomal RNA (bases 1-47)
Source: RNAcentral